Molecule: ribosomal RNA, 572 nt
Filed under: Escherichia coli
Lineage: Bacteria; Pseudomonadati; Pseudomonadota; Gammaproteobacteria; Enterobacterales; Enterobacteriaceae
Description: partial 23S ribosomal RNA
Rfam family: Bacterial large subunit ribosomal RNA
Source: RNAcentral
AAUGGGUCAGCGACUUAUAUUCUGUAGCAAGGUUAACCGAAUAGGGGAGCCGAAGGGAAACCGAGUCUUAACUGGGCGUUAAGUUGCAGGGUAUAGACCCGAAACCCGGUGAUCUAGCCAUGGGCAGGUUGAAGGUUGGGUAACACUAACUGGAGGACCGAACCGACUAAUGUUGAAAAAUUAGCGGAUGACUUGUGGCUGGGGGUGAAAGGCCAAUCAAACCGGGAGAUAGCUGGUUCUCCCCGAAAGCUAUUUAGGUAGCGCCUCGUGAAUUCAUCUCCGGGGGUAGAGCACUGUUUCGGCAAGGGGGUCAUCCCGACUUACCAACCCGAUGCAAACUGCGAAUACCGGAGAAUGUUAUCACGGGAGACACACGGCGGGUGCUAACGUCCGUCGUGAAGAGGGAAACAACCCAGACCGCCAGCUAAGGUCCCAAAGUCAUGGUUAAGUGGGAAACGAUGUGGGAAGGCCCAGACAGCCAGGAUGUUGGCUUAGAAGCAGCCAUCAUUUAAAGAAAGCGUAAUAGCUCACUGGUCGAGUCGGCCUGCGCGGAAGAUGUAACGGGGCUAAAC